AACGAACGCUGGCGGCAUGCCUAACACAUGCAAGUCGAACGAGACCUUCGGGUUUAGUGGCGCACGGGUGCGUAACGCGUGGUAACCUGCCCUUAGGUUCGGAAUAACUCCCCGUAAGGGGUCCUAAUACCGGUUAAUGUCUUCGGACCAAAGAUUUAUCGCCAUUGGAUGGGCCCGCGUUGGAUUAGCUAGUUGGUAGGGUAAAAGCCUACCAAGGCGACGAUCCAUAGCUGGUCUGAGAGGAUGAUCAGCCACACUGGCACUGAGACACGGCCCAGACUCCGACGGGGGGCAGCAGUGGGGAAUAUUGGACGAUGGACGAAAGCCUGAUCCAGCAAUGCGGCGUAAGUGAGGAAGGGCUUAGGGUUGUGAAGCUCUUUGACACGGGAUGAUAAUGACAGUAACGGGAGAAUAAGCACCGGCUAACUCCGUG
This 433-nucleotide ribosomal RNA is filed under the name uncultured bacterium. RNAcentral describes it as "partial 16S ribosomal RNA". It matches the Rfam family "Bacterial small subunit ribosomal RNA", at positions 29 to 507 of the family's 1533-position model. The record is from RNAcentral.